AUUGAACGCUGGCGGCAGGCUUAACACAUGCAAGUCGAACGAGUGGCGGACGGGUGGGUAAGGAAUGGGACUCUAGGUUAUGGAGAGGGAUAACUACGGGGAACUGUAGCUAAUAACGAGUACCAGAGGAUGGGCCAAAGUGGGAUGAGGGAGUGGGUGAGGUAAAGGCGGACCAAGACGACGAACUAUAGCUGGUCUGAGAGGAUGACCAGUCACAAGGGGACGGAGACACGGCCCAGACUCCGACGGGAGGCAGCAGUGGGGAAUAUGGCGAAAUGGGGGCAACCUGAUCCAGCCAUGCCGCGUGAAUGAAGAAGGCCUUCGGGUUGUAAAGUUCUUUAGUUAGCGAGGCGUUAACUACAGAAGAAGCACCGGCUAACUACGUGCCAGCAGCCGCGGUAAUUC
Molecule: ribosomal RNA, 405 nt
Filed under: uncultured bacterium
Lineage: Bacteria
Description: partial 16S ribosomal RNA
Rfam family: Bacterial small subunit ribosomal RNA
Source: RNAcentral